GUCGCCUGUUUAACAAAAACAUAACUGUAUGAAAUACUAUACAGCUUUUUCUGCUCCAUGAUACGUUAAAUAGCCGCAGUACUCUGACUGUGCAAAGGUAGCAUAAUCAAUUGGCUUCUAAUUAAAGUCUAGUAUGAACGAACGUAUGGGUAAUGACUGUCUAGGGAUGUUACUACAAAAUUAUCAGGUUGGUGCAAAUGCCAACAGAUCUAAAAAAGACGAGAAGACCCUAGAAACUUAUAGUUUAUUUUGCUGGGGCGGCAGAAUUGCAUAUAACCAAUUUUUUAUUUACGUGAAGCGAUGCAGAAAGAAAAAGUUACUCUAGGGAUAACAGCAUAAUUUUUAUAGUUUGUGACCUCGAUGUUGGACUAGGGAUAAUAUCCCUUAGAAGGGGAUAAUUAUGGCUCUGUUCGAGCUUCUUACCCUACGUGAUCUGAGUUCAAACCGGACG
RNAcentral lists this ribosomal RNA (451 nucleotides) under Codringtonia codringtonii. Its description in RNAcentral is "partial large subunit ribosomal RNA". It matches the Rfam family "Bacterial large subunit ribosomal RNA", at positions 1795 to 2621 of the family's 2925-position model. Lineage: Eukaryota; Metazoa; Mollusca; Gastropoda; Stylommatophora; Helicidae. The record is from RNAcentral.